This 152-nucleotide small nucleolar RNA is filed under the name Caenorhabditis brenneri. RNAcentral's name for it is "snoRNA CBN33528". It matches the Rfam family "Nematode snoRNA ceN47". The record is from Rfam by way of RNAcentral. Lineage: Eukaryota; Metazoa; Nematoda; Chromadorea; Rhabditida; Rhabditidae.
ACGUGAAUGAAGAAUUUCCAUCCUUGCUCUGCGAGUCGUAGGGCAUUCACUCGGGGAACACUGAUGAGCACAGUAGCAUCGGGUUACUGUAGACGAGUUAGUGAAUCCUCGUGUGGUUCUGCGCCGGUGAACAGUUAUGGCCACUGACACGU